GACGAACGCUGGCGGCGUGCUUAACACAUGCAAGUCGAACGGAAAGGCCCUGCUUUUGUGGGGUGCUCGAGUGGCGAACGGGUGAGUAACACGCGAGUAACCUGCCCUUGACUUUGGGAUAACUUCAGGAAACUGGGGCUAAUACCGGAUAGGAGCUCCUGCUGCAUGGUGGGGGUUGGAAAGUUUCGGCGGUUGGGGAUGGACUCGCGGCUUAUCAGCUUGUUGGUGGGGUAGUGGCUUACCAAGGCUUUGACGGGUAGCCGGCCUGAGAGGGUGACCGGCCACAUUGGGACUGAGAUACGGCCCAGACUCCUACGGGGGGGCAGCAGUGGGGAAUAUUGCACAAUGGGCGGAAGCCUGAUGCAGCAACGCCGCGUGCGGGAUGACGGCCUUCGGGUUGUAAACCGCUUUCGCCUGUGACGAAGCGUGAGUGACGGUAAUGGGUAAAGAAGCACCGGCUAACUACGUGCCAGCAGCCGCGGUGAUACGUAGGGUGCGAGCGUUGUCCGGAUUUAUUGGGCGUAAAGGGCUCGUAGGUGGUUGAUCGCGUCGGAAGUGUAAUCUUGGGGCUUAACCCUGAGCGUGCUUUCGAUACGGGUUGACUUGAGGAAGGUAGGGGAGAAUGGAAUUCCUGGUGGAGCGGUGGAAUGCGCAGAUAUCAGGAGGAACACCAGUGGCGAAGGCGGUUCUCUGGGCCUUUCCUGACGCUGAGGAGCGAAAGCGUGGGGAGCGAACAGGCUUAGAUACCCUGGUAGUCCACGCUGUAAACGGUGGGUACUAGGUGUGGGGUCCAUUCCACGGGUUCCGUGCCGUAGCUAACGCUUUAAGUACCCCGCCUGGGGAGUACGGCCGCAAGGCUAAAACUCAAAGGAAUUGACGGGGCCCCGCACAAGCGGCGGAGCAUGCGGAUUAAUUCGAUGCAACGCGUAGAACCUUACCUGGGUUUGACAUGGAUCGGGAGCGCUCAGAGAUGGGUGUGCCUCUUUUGGGGUCGGUUCACAGGUGGUGCAUGGCUGUCGUCAGCUCGUGUCGUGAGAUGUUGGGUUAAGUCCCGCAACGAGCGCAACCCUUGUUCACUGUUGCCAGCACGUUAUGGUGGGGACUCAGUGGAGACCGCCGGGGUCAACUCGGAGGAAGGUGGGGAUGACGUCAAGUCAUCAUGCCCCUUAUGUCCAGGGCUUCACGCAUGCUACAAUGGCUGGUACAGAGAGUGGCGAGCCUGUGAGGGUGAGCGAAUCUCGGAAAGCCGGUCUCAGUUCGGAUUGGGGUCUGCAACUCGACCUCAUGAAGUCGGAGUCGCUAGUAAUCGCAGAUCAGCAACGCUGCGGUGAAUACGUUCCCGGGGCU
This 1347-nucleotide ribosomal RNA is filed under the name uncultured bacterium. RNAcentral's name for it is "bacterial SSU rRNA". It matches the Rfam family "Bacterial small subunit ribosomal RNA", at positions 28 to 1381 of the family's 1533-position model. The record is from RNAcentral.